GACGAACGCUGGCGGCGUGCCUAAUACAUGCAAGUCGAGCGGACCAAAGGGAGCUUGCUCCUGGAGGUUAGCGGCGAACGGGUGAGUAACACGUGGGCAACCUGCCUGUAAGACUGGGAUAACAUCGAGAAAUCGGUGCUAAUACCGGAUAAUAAAAAGAACUGCAUGGUUCUUUUUUGAAAGAUGGUUUCGGCUAUCACUUACAGAUGGGCCCGCGGCGCAUUAGCUAGUUGGUGAGGUAACGGCUCACCAAGGCGACGAUGCGUAGCCGACCUGAGAGGGUGAUCGGCCACACUGGGACUGAGACACGGCCCAGACUCCUACGGGAGGCAGCAGUAGGGAAUCUUCCGCAAUGGACGAAAGUCUGACGGAGCAACGCCGCGUGAGUGAUGAAGGUUUUCGGAUCGUAAAACUCUGUUGUUAGGGAAGAACAAGUGCCGUUCGAAGGCGGCACUUGACGGUACCUAACGAGAAAGCCACGGCUAACUACGUGCCAGCAGCCGCGGUAA
Molecule: ribosomal RNA, 509 nt
Filed under: uncultured bacterium
Lineage: Bacteria
Description: bacterial SSU rRNA
Rfam family: Bacterial small subunit ribosomal RNA
Source: RNAcentral